Hordeum vulgare subsp. vulgare (domesticated barley) is the source of this 135-nucleotide non-coding RNA. NCBI's taxonomy places the organism in Eukaryota, Viridiplantae, Streptophyta, Magnoliopsida, Poales, Poaceae. The record is from Rfam.
GUAAUACUUCCUCCGUUCGGAAUUACUUAUCACAUAAAUGAACAAAAAUGCAUGUAUCUAAAACUAAAGUACAUCUAGAAACAUCUAUUUCUAUCCAUUUCUAUGACAAGUAUUUUUGGACGGAGCGAGUACUAU